GACGAACGCUGGCGGCGUGCUUAACACAUGCAAGUCGGGGGGCGGGGUAACCCGUCACCGGCGAACGAGUGCGGAACACGUGAGCGACCUGCCCUGGUGUGGGGGAUAGCCGGCCCAAAGGCCGGGUAAUACCGCAUACGACCCCCGCCGGGAAGCGGGAGGCGAAAGUCGCAAGAGGCACUAGGAGGGGCCCGCGGCCUAUCAGCUGGGUUGUGCGGUAACGGCGCACCAAGGCGAUGACGGGUAGCUGGCCUGAGAGGAUGGCCAGGAACAUUGGGACGGAGCGACGGCCCAGGCUAGUACGGGAGGCGGAAGUGGGGAAGAUUGGGCAAUGGGCGAAAGAGUGACGCCGCGAGGCUGCGUGGGGGAUGAGGCCCGUAGGGGUGUAAACUCCGGUUGCAAGGGAAGAAUGCCCAGAAUCGGCGGGGUUGACGUUACCGGGUGAGGAAGCACCGGCUAACUCUGUG
This 467-nucleotide ribosomal RNA is filed under the name uncultured bacterium. RNAcentral's name for it is "partial 16S ribosomal RNA". It matches the Rfam family "Bacterial small subunit ribosomal RNA", at positions 28 to 507 of the family's 1533-position model. The record is from RNAcentral.